AUUGAACGCUGGCGGCAUGCCUUACACAUGCAAGUCGAACGGUAACGGGCCUUCGGGUGCCGACGAGUGGCGAACGGGUGAGUAAUACAUCUGAACGUUCCCGAUCGUGGGGGAUAACGCGGCGAAAGCUUUGCUAAUACCGCAUACGAUCUACGGUUGAAAGCAUGGGACCGCAAGGCCUUGCGCGGGCGGGGCGGCCGCUGGCAGAUUAGGUAGUUGGUGGGAUAAAAGCUUACCAAGCCGACGUUCUGUAGCUGGUCUGAGAGGAUGAUCAGCCACACUGGGACGGAGACACGGCCCAGACUCCUACGGGAGGCAGCAGUGGGGAAUGUUGGACAAUGGGCGCAAGCCUGAUCCAGCCAUGCAGCGUGCAGGAUGAAGGCCUUCGGGUUGUAAACUGCUUUUGUACGGAACGAAAAGCCUUCUUUUAAUACAGGAGGGUCAUGACGGUACCGGAAGAAUAAGCACCGGCUAACUACGUG
This 482-nucleotide ribosomal RNA is filed under the name uncultured bacterium. Its description in RNAcentral is "partial 16S ribosomal RNA". It matches the Rfam family "Bacterial small subunit ribosomal RNA", at positions 30 to 507 of the family's 1533-position model. The record is from RNAcentral.